GCAGUCGAGCGAGGGUCAUGGCGUGAGCAAUCAUGUCGUGACUCUAGCGGCGGACGGGUGAGUAACACGUGGGUAACCUGCCCUCGAGUCCGGGACACCCCCUCGAAAGGGGGGCUAAUACUGGAUACGUUCCUCGGGUCGCACGACCUGGGGAGGAAAGGUAGCUCGCAAGGGCUGCCGCUCGUGGAGGGGCUCGCGGCCUAUCAGCUAGUUGGUGGGGUAACGGCCUACCAAGGCGAUGACGGGUAGCUGGUCUGAGAGGACGACCAGCCACACGGGGACUGAGACACGGCCCCGACUCCUACGGGAGGCAGCAGUGGGGAAUCUUCCGCAAUGGGCGAAAGCCUGACGGAGUGACGCCGCGUGGGGGACGAAGGCCUUCGGGUCGUAAACCCCUGUCAGAGGGAAAGAUGGGUGUCGGCGUGCAUAGCGCCGGCAUCUGACGGUACCUUCAGAGGAAGCCCCGGCCAACUCUGUGCCAGCAGCCGCGGUAAGACAGAGGGGGCAAGCGUUGCUCGGAAUUACUGGGCGUAAAGGGCGUGUAGGCGGAGCGGCAAGUCGGUCGUGAAAGCCUCCGGCUCAACUGGAGAACGUCGAUCGAUACUGCCGUCCUUGAGGGUAGCAGAGGAGACUGGAAUUCCCGGUGUAGCGGUGAAAUGUGUAGAGAUCGGGAGGAACACCGGUGGCGAAGGCGGGUCUCUGGGCUACUCCUGACGCUGAGGCGCGAAAGCGUGGGGAGCAAACGGGAUUAGAUACCCCGGUAGUCCACGCUGUAAACGAUGGCACUA
Molecule: ribosomal RNA, 788 nt
Filed under: uncultured bacterium
Lineage: Bacteria
Description: bacterial SSU rRNA
Rfam family: Bacterial small subunit ribosomal RNA
Source: RNAcentral